Molecule: transfer RNA, 73 nt
Filed under: Oscarella lobularis
Lineage: Eukaryota; Metazoa; Porifera; Homoscleromorpha; Homosclerophorida; Oscarellidae
Also listed under: 8 other names
Description: tRNA-Phe
Rfam family: tRNA
About the family: Transfer RNA (tRNA) molecules are approximately 80 nucleotides in length. Their secondary structure includes four short double-helical elements and three loops (D, anti-codon, and T loops). Further hydrogen bonds mediate the characteristic L-shaped molecular structure. tRNAs have two regions of fundamental functional importance: the anti-codon, which is responsible for specific mRNA codon recognition, and the 3' end, to which the tRNAs corresponding amino acid is attached (by aminoacyl-tRNA synthetases). tRNAs cope with the degeneracy of the genetic code in two manners: having more than one tRNA (with a specific anti-codon) for a particular amino acid; and 'wobble' base-pairing, i.e. permitting non-standard base-pairing at the 3rd anti-codon position.
Source: RNAcentral
GCACAGGCAGCUUAAUUGGUUGAGCGUAACACUGAAAAUGUUUAGAUUGUUGGUUCGAGUCCAAUCCUGGGCA